Molecule: long non-coding RNA, 342 nt
Organism: Etheostoma spectabile (orangethroat darter)
Lineage: Eukaryota; Metazoa; Chordata; Actinopteri; Perciformes; Percidae
Exons: 3
Source: RefSeq, a predicted model, not a curated record
AACGCAUACUUUAGAGUAGCCUGGAUGACACCAGAACCUUCUCAGUUGUAAGGGAGAGUGGGUCUGGGGAAGGUCCAUCCACAGCUCAUUUCCAACGGACGCCACUCAAAUGCCUCUGGGCGCAACUGGACAGUCCUUCAACCAAUCAGACCAACGAUCCGGGUGAUGGAGCAGUGACAGAUGCAUCAACGAUGGCCAUCAUCGUGUAAAGCCCUCAUCAACGGUUGUGAUCGGUACCUCGAUUUGGAAAAAUUGGAAAUGGGUUUAAAUGGGCUCUUGGCCAGACUGACUUGCGGAACAAAUCUCUAAUUUGCCGGAAGAUCGUCAGGGUUUUCCCAGGCC